GUGGGGAAUUUUGGACAAUGGGGGCAACCCUGAUCCAGCCAUGCCGCGUGCGGGAAGAAGGCCUUCGGGUUGUAAACCGCUUUUGUCAGGGAAGAAAUCCUUUGGGUUAAUACCUCGGAGGGAUGACGGUACCUGAAGAAUAAGCACCGGCUAACUACGUGCCAGCAGCCGCGGUAAUACGUAGGGUGCGAGCGUUAAUCGGAAUUACUGGGCGUAAAGCGUGCGCAGGCGGUUUUGUAAGAUCGAUGUGAAAUCCCAGGGCUCAACCUGGGAACUGCAUUGGUGACUGCAAGGCUGGAGUGCGGCAGAGGGGGAUGGAAUUCCGCGUGUAGCAGUGAAAUGCGUAGAUAUGCGGAGGAACACCGAUGGCGAAGGCAAUCCCCUGGGCCUGCACUGACGCUCAUGCACGAAAGCGUGGGGAGCAAACAGGAUUAGAUACCCCAGUAGUCC
Molecule: ribosomal RNA, 450 nt
Filed under: uncultured bacterium
Lineage: Bacteria
Description: partial 16S ribosomal RNA
Rfam family: Bacterial small subunit ribosomal RNA
Source: RNAcentral